AUAAAAUGAUGGGAGGAAUGUAGCUUCGAUCUCGGUUGAAGUGUUAUAGCCUCUGGUAGAUGUGAUGAUCGGGAUUGAGGAUUGCAACGAAUACCUUUUAGGCUACCCGCCUGAUCUCUGAUGGUUGCUAUGGUGCCGAAAGCUUGCUUACGGUUAUCAGAGUUGAUUGUCAAAAGGUUAGAACGGGUUAAAUUCGUUAAGGAUGUUGACGUAAUGGCUUUAAACGA
Molecule: ribosomal RNA, 227 nt
Filed under: Glomeraceae sp.
Lineage: Eukaryota; Fungi; Glomeromycota; Glomeromycetes; Glomerales; Glomeraceae
Description: partial large subunit ribosomal RNA
Source: RNAcentral